UGGCCAGUCUGCUAGGACCAUCA
This 23-nucleotide non-coding RNA is filed under the name Arabidopsis thaliana (thale cress). The record is from RNAcentral. Lineage: Eukaryota; Viridiplantae; Streptophyta; Magnoliopsida; Brassicales; Brassicaceae.